GCAUUCAGUUGCCAUCGGGUAAUGCCGGGCACUCUGGAAGGACUGCCAUCGACAAGAUGGAGGAAGUGGGGAUGACGUCAAGUCGUCAUGGCCCUUAUGUCCAGGGCGACACACGUGCUACAAUGGCCGGCACAACGGGAAGCGAGUUCGCGAGGACGAGCGGAUCCCUCAAAGCCGGUCGCAGUUCGGAUUGAAGUCUGCAACUCGACUUCAUGAAGCUGGAAUCGCUAGUAAUCGUGGAUCAGCCAAGCCGCGGUGAAUACGUUCCCGGGCCUU
Molecule: ribosomal RNA, 276 nt
Filed under: uncultured Synergistaceae bacterium
Lineage: Bacteria; Thermotogati; Synergistota; Synergistia; Synergistales; Synergistaceae
Description: partial 16S ribosomal RNA
Rfam family: Bacterial small subunit ribosomal RNA
Source: RNAcentral